UAUAACCUACCCUGGGGUUGGGCAUAGCCGUUCUAACGAACGGGUAAUUCCCAGCGAUUCGGCGCGGUGGCAUCAUCGUGCCGGGAAAGAUUUAUCGCCUCGGGAGGGGUCCAUAUCGUAUUACCUAGUUGGUGAGGUAACGGCUCACCAAGGGGAAGAUGCGUAGCGGGUGUGAGAGCACGACCCGCGCCACUGGCACUGUGACACUGGCCAGACACCUACGGGUGGCUGCAGUCGAGGAUCUUCGUCAAUGGACGCAAGUCUGAACGAGCGACGCCGCGUGUGCGAUGAAGGCCUUCGGGUUGUAAAGCACAAAAGUGGGGAUAAAAGCCGAAAGGUCUGAUUGAUCCACAGUAAGCUCGGGCUAAGUUCGUGCCAGCAGCCGCGGUAAGACGAACCGAGCGAACGUUGUUCGGAAUCACUGGGCUUAAAGGGCGCGUAGGCGGGCGAUCAAGUCGGUGGUGAAAUCCUACAGCUUAACUGUAGAACUGCCCCCGAUACUGGUUGUCUCGAGGAAGGUAGGGGCGUGCGGAACAGUUGGUGGAGCGGUGAAAUGCGUUGAUAUCAACUGGAACUCCGGUGGCGAAGGCGGCACGCUGGACCUUUUCUGACGCUGAGGCGCGAAAGCCAGGGGAGCAAACGGGAUUAGAUACCCCGGUAGUCCUGGCCCUAAACGAUGGGUACUAGAUAGUAGUCUGUCAUGGGAUUACUGUCGAAGUUAAAAUGCUAAGUACCCCGCCUGGGGAGUAUGGUCGCAAGGCUGAAACUCAAAGGAAUUGACGGGGGCUCACACAAGCGGUGGAGCAUGUGGCUUAAUUCGAGCCUACGCGAAGAACCUUAUCCUAGACUUGACAUGUGCGAAAGCGUGAGGAAGUAGAAUCUGGAAACAGAAACGAACGGUAUCCAGUCCGGAACCUCAUACAGGUGCUGCAUGGCUGUCGUCAGCUCGUGUCGUGAGGUGUCGGGUUAAGUCCCAUAACGAGCGAAACCCUUACCCUUAGUUGCGACCUUAAUUGGGCACUCUAGGGGGACUGCCGGUGUUAAACCGGAGGAAGGCGGGGAUGACGUCAAGUCCUCAUGGCCUUUACGUCUAGGGCUGCACACGUGCUACAAUGGCGUGAACAAAGGGAAGCGAACUCGCGAGAGGGAGCAAAUCCCAGAAAACACGCCCCAGUUCAGAUCGGAGGCUGCAACUCGCCUCCGUGAAGUUGGAAUCGCUAGCAAUCGCGGGUCGGCAACACCGCGGUGAAUGUGUUCCUGAGCCUUGUACACACCGCCCGUCAAGCCACGAAAGAGAGGAGCGCCCGAAGCCGCUUACGCGUCGAAGGCGAGACUCUUGAUUGGGACC
RNAcentral lists this ribosomal RNA (1348 nucleotides) under metagenome. RNAcentral describes it as "bacterial SSU rRNA". It matches the Rfam family "Bacterial small subunit ribosomal RNA", at positions 120 to 1482 of the family's 1533-position model. The record is from RNAcentral.